AAAAAGCAACUCACUAGCUAUACAACUUUUUGACAGAUUACACUGUUCUUGAAAAACCGUUUAGAAGAAAGCAGAUAAGAGUUUUCUUAGGUGCAAAAGUUGAUUAAACUUUAGGAAGCAAGUGUUUUUGACCAGUAUAAAGAAAAUAAGAGUAAUGUGUGGGGGUGUGUGUGUGUGUGUGUGUGUGUGCGCGCGCGUGCCUGCGGCUAAAGUUUGGGAAGAAAUGUUGGUUCAGAGUUAAGGUUUAAGUUGGAAAGGCCAGUGGAGGAGGCUCCCUGCCUUGCAGAACUGCUGGGUAUUGUCACUGCUUGCCUCUUCAGCUUUUAUAUGCAGGUGAAGCUCGUGUGUGGAGUGCCACGGUACAAUCAGACGACAGAUGGACAGUGUGACAAAAGUGUCAGAAAGGAUUGGGCCUCGCUGUGAGAGUCAGCCUGGAUUCAAAGUGUUGACAAGUUGCUGAAAAGGAAGCCAGUGAGAGGACUGUGGCACGCAGAGGAAGUGGAGCCCUGUCUUCGGUCACACCAUUGAUGGAGGACAGAUGGACAGCCGUAUGGCCAGUCACCUCUCCUCUUAAACCUUUGGAGAG
RNAcentral lists this long non-coding RNA (586 nucleotides) under Homo sapiens (human). RNAcentral describes it as "non-protein coding lnc-SLC30A5-6:1". The record is from RNAcentral. Lineage: Eukaryota; Metazoa; Chordata; Mammalia; Primates; Hominidae.